UACGGAGGGUGCAAGCGUUAUCCGGAUUUAUUGGGUUUAAAGGGUCCGCAGGCGGACUUGUAAGUCAGAGGUGAAAGCCGGCAGCUUAACUGUCGAACUGCCUUUGAUACUGCAAGUCUUGAGUAAAAUUGAAGUGGCUGGAAUGUGUAGUGUAGCGGUGAAAUGCAUAGAUAUUACACAGAACACCGAUAGCGAAGGCAGGUCACUAAGUUUUAACUGACGCUGAGGGACGAAAGCGUGGGGAGCGAACAGG
This 253-nucleotide ribosomal RNA is filed under the name uncultured Flavobacteriales bacterium. RNAcentral's name for it is "partial 16S ribosomal RNA". It matches the Rfam family "Bacterial small subunit ribosomal RNA", at positions 524 to 776 of the family's 1533-position model. Lineage: Bacteria; Pseudomonadati; Bacteroidota; Flavobacteriia; Flavobacteriales. The record is from RNAcentral.